UGGGGAAUAUUGCACAAUGGGCGAAAGCCUGAUGCAGCAACGCCGCGUGAGUGAUGAAGGCCUUCGGGUUGUAAAGCUCUGUCUUCUGGGACGAUAAUGACGGUACCAGAGGAGGAAGCCACGGCUAACUACGUGCCAGCAGCCGCGGUAAUACGUAGGUGGCAAGCGUUGUCCGGAUUUACUGGGCGUAAAGGAUGCGUAGGCGGAUACUUAAGUCAGAUGUGAAAAUCCCGGGCUUAACUUGGGAACUGCAUUUGAAACCGGGUAUCUAGAGUGCGGGAGAGGAAAGUGGAAUUCCUAGUGUAGCGGUGAAAUGCGUAGAGAUUAGGAAGAACACCAGUGGCGAAGGCGACUUUCUGGACCGUAACUGACGCUGAGGCAUGAAAGCGUGGGGAGCAAACA
This 402-nucleotide ribosomal RNA is filed under the name uncultured bacterium. RNAcentral's name for it is "bacterial SSU rRNA". It matches the Rfam family "Bacterial small subunit ribosomal RNA", at positions 355 to 774 of the family's 1533-position model. The record is from RNAcentral.